AUACAGUUAGAUAAUUUUUAAUAGGAUGAUUGGUUUCAUUGUACCUUUGUACACAGAUUUAAUGCGAGUGACCUUCUAGAGAGGAGCAGGAAUGGAAGAAUAGUGUUUGCUGGAGACUCCAUUGCAAGAAACCAAUGGGAGUCCUUCCUAUGCAUGUUAGGCCAAGGAGUUCAUAACAAGUCAACCAUAUAUGAAGAACAUGGAAAACCCAUAACUAAACACAAGGGCUUCCUCUCUAUGCGUUUCAGUGAAUACAAUCUCACAGUUGAAUACUACAGAGUACCCUUUCUUGUGGUCGUCGGUCGGCCUGCACUUAAUUCUUCUACUGAAGUCAAAAUGACCAUUAAGGUCGACCAAAUGCAUUGGUUCUCCAGAAAGUGGGUCGGAGCAGAUAUUUUGGUUUUCAGUGGAGGCCAUUGGUGGAAUGAAGAUAAAACAGUCAAGAUGUUUGAUCCUCUGUUCCUCCUACUUAACCUUUUUUUCUUUUUGGUUGAUUAACUAAUUGGGCUUCUUUUGUUAUGUGCUCAGGGGCUGCUAUUUUGAGGAUGGAGGAAAAGUGAAUACGUCGAUGAGUGUGAUGGAAGCAUUUCAAAGAUCUCUGCAAACAUGGAAGUCAUGGGCAUUACAGAAUUUAGAUCGCGAGAGUUACAUUUUCUUUCGCAGCUUCUCUCCAGUACAUUACAGGUAAGUAUUCUCAACUUACAGGAAAAAGGAAGAGAGAGGUUGGGGCAUCUGUAUCAAUUCACAGUUUAAGACCAUAGAUCGUCCUUCAAAAUUUUAAUGAGUGAAAUUGCAGGAAUGGAACAUGGAAUACCGAGGGUCGAUGUGAUGUGGACAUGCAACCUGAGACAAACUACAUGAAUCUAGAGCCUGAGCCUGUGAAUAAUCAAUUGAUUUCCGAUAUGAUCAAACAAAUGGAAUUGGAAUACAGAAAUAGCAAAGUUCAGUAUUUAAACAUCACAUAUCUGACACAGUUCAGGUUUGAUGGACACCCUUCAGUCCACCGCGAGCCAGGCACUCCAGUUCCUGCUCCACAAGACUGCAGCCACUGGUGCUUGCCCGGAGUACCAGAUGUAUGGAAUGAAAUUCUAUAUGCUCAUUUACGGUCAAUGGGAUUCAAAACCAAGUGAUAUUACCUGGCCAAAAAAGAAGAAUGAACAAUUUCUUGGUCGCUUGCCUUGCAAGUUCUGUUAUAUUGUCAGGGCAGUAUAUAAUCUGGGCUGCAUCUAACUAGGAUAAUUCCUUUUCAUUCUCGUUGGCAUCAGCUUCACUGACUUCCAUUUCCUUCACUUUCUCAAGCUGCCGCAAGAGCUCCAACCUUUCUGGUCCAUAAGUGGAAGGGAUCAAAGCUGGCACAUAUCGCUGAAUAGCUGCCAACAUAGCUGCAUGCCCAACAGCAGUAACAGGUAGAAGCAUUAGAACACCAAUAGGAACAACUGAAGCCAAAUCAGUCAGUGUUCUCUGGAGAGCCUUUUUUUCUUUUUCUGUUAACUCAUCUCCAAUCAAGAUCCUCCUAAGCAACUCCAUUGCAGCAGUAACAUCAAUAGCUAGAAGCUGAGUUCCUUGCAAGACAUCCGUGCUAGUUUUCUUUAACUUGUCCAAUGAUUUUGCUAUGAUAUUUUCUUUCUUUUGAACUUGGACCAAUUGAGCACUUCCAGCAUCACCAAGGUAAUUAGCAGUGUCAUCAGUCUCUUUAGUUUCCUCCUCAUUUUCAGAUUGAUCAGUGCUUCUUUGAACCCGUUUUUCUAGUUCAAUAAGCUCAUUUCGUAGGAGUUCGAAACGGAGAAUGUCAUUUGAUUCUGAGUCUGUAACACCUGCAUUUAGAGUGUUCUGCCCAAUAUAAUCAUCUCCAGAUCCAUCUGUCACUGUGAAGUCAGGAUCAGACUUCUUGGUCGGAAAGCGUGCAAAGAAGCUCCAGAGUCCUCUAGAUUUACUGUUGGUCCUAUCUAGUCUUAUCUUAAAAAUUUUUCUCCUUUUCCCUUUUAAGUAUGGUUGGUGCUCACUAACAGAAGACUGCGAAUUACUUUCAUCAUCUCCCUGCUGAAGAGAAGCUGCUUUUGCUCUGAAAGAUGCCUCCAGAAAUUCAGCCUCUUUUUUAAGUUUCCUUAUUUUCUCAAGAUCAGAACAAGCAGCUUUUAAUUGCUCUUUUCCAGAAUUAGAGCUUGAUACAUGCAACUCCUCAAGUAACUUUUCUAGUCUUAUCAGAGCUUCUUCAACACUCUCCAAUGCCUUGUCAAAAGAAUCCAUCUCUUUGGCUAUUGGUGAAAAAAUUGCACAUCCUGUUCUCUCAGCAAAAUUGUUCUUGCUAUCUUUCAUUUUCCUGCAACAUACUUUCUUUAAGAGUAAUUUGCUAUAGCUGAUAAUUUUAAGCAAAGUAUUAUAUAGACAAUGAGCACACACCAGCUGAACUAAUAGUGACAUGUGAACAUUACUUCACAAGUUUUUUAGACACACCAUCCUUAUUUUCUUAUGUGAAAAAAUGAAAUUAGAUGAAAUGAAUGUUUGAGGGGGGAAAUAAAGUACUGUUACGUUUAUGUACAAAAUAUGAAUUAAAUGCUUGAAAAUGUCUCUACAAAUGUAGCUUAAAAUGAAAUUUGAGCAAAUCUCAAUUGUGGGUUAGUUCAGGCAUCCACAGAAUCAAUAGUAACACUUAGCGAUUUUUAAGUUUUUCGUGUUAUCUUGAUGUGCAUUCAGAAUAUUUGUCACCGAAAACAUAUGUACCAUAUCCAUAAGACCAAGUUUAAUCUCUAUGUGCAUGAUUUAAGCGAGUAUGAAUGAGAGAGAAAGCAUUAAGAUUUUUCCUUUAGUAGCUUACCGAGAUAACCCCAGUUCUUCCAUGCACUCCAUUAAUUUGUUGUGCCUAAACAAUGUUGACAAAAAAAUCUUUCAAAUUAAUGACUCACCUCAUAUUUGUGCAAUAUACUAUACAAUGUUAGUUCAAUUACCCCCUGGACAAGAACCUCGCUGCCUUAACAUGGGAAGGGUUCUCCAACCAUUUACUGUAUUUAAUAAAGCUCUGCAUCCAAUAAGAGCAAACAUCUACUAGAUGGGGGAUAGCUUCAGCAUUUGGAGGAUCCUGUUGCUUAUUUCCAUGGCCAUGCGCCAGUUUUGGAGUGCUAAUAUUUCCUGGAUAGAAAGAAAGCCAGUCCAGCUCUUCGCAGACUACCUCUACAUACAAUUGGUAUGAACUUAUUGAUGAAAGCUGAGGAUAGUACAACACACUACCCCCAAUAAGGUACCUCAUGAAGCCUUCGAUAGGCUCAUCUAUGGCAUCAAAUCCAUUUGCAGAUAGAAAGGACUGUGAACUUCUUCCCAAUGCGAUAAAGAAUCCAAAAAUAGCCAAGUCCUUCUCCAAAACCUCAAUGCUUUCGGAUGUUGUUAGUCUUGACCAUAUUCUCUCCCUAUCUAUAGCUUGUUGCAGCUGCUUCUGUAUAAGAUUAACCCAGAAAACAACCUCUUCUGAACUACAAUCAUUCUUCACUCUGCAUGCAGCAGCUCGGGGACCAAAAUGGGCAAGAAAUUCUCCGCAUAGACCAAUAUCCUUUAUAUAGUGAUAAGCUUGGCGUAUGGGAAUGAGAUCAACCAGUAUGUCCAUCAAUUUGCCACUUAUAUCUGAGAUCAUGGAAAAGAAUUGUGGGCAAGAAACCUUUGAGGCACCAAGUUUUGUGAUUGCAGCAAUACAGCUCAGUGCAAGCAAGAGGAGUGCAACAUCACUUCCACUGCCUGAAUCCAAGGACAUGCCUUUACCCAACACAGCAGUGGCAGCAGUAAAACGUAGGUCCCCUUCAAAAUAAUUAACAAAUGAUGCCAUCACUGCUGGGACUUGCUCAGACCAAAACCAUUCAUUAGCCUCAGGAUGCUUCCCAGAAAGUUUUUCCCUGAUUAAACUCUCCAAGGGAGCAGAUUGUCGCAAUAAACUCUUUUGGACAAACAUAUUUACAUCCCUAUCACUUCCUUCACCUCGGGUUGAAAUCUCACAUGCUGCUUGCAAUAGAGAAUACACAGAAGCCUGGUAUGACAGUGUUUUCACCCAUGCAUUCCUGUCUGCACCAAGCCAAGAUGUUGAAAACCAGGAUAAUUUUGAAAGAAAACCCUGUUCUUUGAUCGCCAACUCAAAAACCCUGGCUGCAUCAUGUAAAGAUUGAACAAGUCUAUCACCAUAAUCUUCACCUUGCAAUGAAUGAUCGAGUUUGACUCUCAUUUCAUCCACGUUAGUACUGGUACUUGCUGGGGGACUUCCAUUAACAGUUACACCAUCAUCUGCAGUUGCAAAGCAAAAAAGGUGCCCUGCCCCUCUAGUUUUACAAUAGGCCACUUCUGGUUUCCUAUAUACAGUAAAACGAUGAUUGAGUCUGUGGUUGUCAUUCCCCAGAAAAGCAAGCCUCGUAAGGCAUCUUUUCCUUGAAUUACCCAAACUGCUCAAUAUGUAAUCCAAGUGACCCAUUCUUUUGCAAGAAACAUGUGGUCCAAUUGAAUUUCGAGAAAGGCAUGGAUUCGAAGAACUUGAAGAUAUGAAGGCAUGAUGCUGCAACUUAACUGCCGGAAACAUGUAAAAAAAGUGAGAAAUUCAACGGAAAAUGAAGCGUUUGGCCGUGGGAAAAUCAAGUGAAAGAGCCGUAGAAUAAAGAGAGAGGCCAAGCACGCGAGGAAGAGGCUGCUUUUGAUUGGUUUUUGGUAUCUGUGACUGUGGGUUGCAGCAGACGGUGACGUGGCGGCGAGACUUUUAUCCGUCUACGUGGAGACAGAAGCGAUCACAUAACUGAUGAUGGGAUGGGACGGCUCAG
This 4784-nucleotide unclassified non-coding RNA is filed under the name Hevea brasiliensis (rubber tree). The record is from RNAcentral. Lineage: Eukaryota; Viridiplantae; Streptophyta; Magnoliopsida; Malpighiales; Euphorbiaceae.